RNAcentral lists this non-coding RNA (461 nucleotides) under Thielaviopsis punctulata. RNAcentral's name for it is "Ceratocystis radicicola Bacterial small subunit ribosomal RNA". It matches the Rfam family "Bacterial small subunit ribosomal RNA", at positions 938 to 1367 of the family's 1533-position model. Lineage: Eukaryota; Fungi; Ascomycota; Sordariomycetes; Microascales; Ceratocystidaceae. The record is from Rfam by way of RNAcentral.
CCAACCGUUUAAUUCGAUAAUCCACGAAAAAUCUUACCGCAGUUUGAAUAAAUUAAAAAGUGAAAAUUUUUAUAUCUACAGGAGUUGCACGGCUGUUUCCAGUUAAUAUUGUGAAAUAAAUUUAUAAAUUAACGAAAUCCCUCGCUUUAUUUUUAAUAAUACUCUAGGGUAUUGGGUAUUUAGAUAAAUAGACGAUAUUAUUGUAAAUUUUGAUAAAUAUCCAGUUUAUACAUAUGUAUAAAUUUAAAUAAGGUUACACUGUAAAAGGGAACAAGACAAGUCAUCAUGGCCCUAAUAUUGCGGGCUAUAUGACGUGCCACGUAUAUCUAUACAAAAAGAUGCAAAAAUGUGAGUUUGAGCUAAUCUUUAAAUUAGAAUAUAAACAUAUGGAUUGUAGUCUGAAAUUCGACUAUAUGAAUAAGUAAUUGCUAGUAAUCGCGAAUCACCAUGCCGCGGUGAAU